GUAUUCUAACAAAUUCAAGAUGUAGCCAAGAAAAUUUUAUUACAGCGAAUAGUGAAGAAGUUAAGCCUUUAUAGGUAUAAUGAACAAUGUUAGUCAAAACAAGUCGUAGAAUAGUCAUUGUCUAUAAUGCAUUUAUAUGCCUAUGGUAUAAUAAAAUUAAUACAAAUAUGAAUUUAUUUCCAUAAUAUCACACCCAAACACAGCAAUUAGAGUACAAUUCUUGCAGCUUGCUAGGUAAAAGUAAGUAUAUAUAGUUACGUUGGCCAGGAUGCAAAGAACUGUCCCUCACAGGCAACUUACUUGCAGUAGAAACAGAGAAGGAAUAUGAUGUCACAGGUUUUGGAGGUUCUAUGGCUCUACUCACGAUCAUAUAAGAGUAUCUACGGGAAACAACAGUGUGCAGACCCCACUUCCCCUCUCUCAGAGGAGGGUUUACUUCCGUUGUGAGAUGCCACUGCAGUGUAGGCUGAGAUUUGUUCUAAUCUCAGUGGGGGAAUACGAUGCUCUUAAAAACACCACCAAAAAACAGAGCAACACCACCGACUUUAAUGCCACUGGAUACCACAGCUCCACGUGCUCACAUCUAGCUCAGCACAGUGGCUGACCAGGAGCUGACAUGCAUUUGCAGUAUGAACAUGCUAUGCUUUGUUUCACUAAUCAUCUGUUUUGAGUGAGCACACAAAGAUCACUUCAUAAUUUCCAUGUUCUACCUUUCAAAUCAAGCUUGAUUUUUUUCAAAUGUUUAAUCUGUCAAGACAAGCAGUAAAUUAAAAAAUUAUUUUUAGGUUUUUCAUAUUUAUUUUUAGCCAAAUACAAAAAUGACACUGCAAAAGGCAGAUACCUAUACCCAUCAUAUGCCAGAGGUGAAAGAAAAUUGCAUUAGCGCUCUACUAACUACGGUGUUAACUGCUCUCAGAUGAAUUCUCAUAUUUUUGUAGUAAUUCACAUUGUGCAAUAGGCAGUACAAUCUAAUUCACCACAACUGCAUAAUUUUGGGCCAACUUGCUAUUGAUAAAUAAUGCAAGUAUUAGGUUAUUAAAUUUUUUACAAUUAAGUGACUAAGAAAGCUGUUUAUUGCCUUCCGUUAUGCCCUCUGUUAAUAAGAUCGUUGUUGCAGAUGUUCAUGUAUGCUGCAUUGGUGUUUAAUGGUGCAUGAUGCUCUAGGUGGUUCCCAUAACCUUGCUUUGUCUACUAUGAGCUGACUCAAUUGAUAUGAUAAUAGAGAAAAGAGGUCUGAAACAAGCUGGGCUGUACUGGCACAAUUUGCAUAACCUUAAAAUUUGCCAUCACUUGGUAGCCAACUGCUCCUAAAAUUCUUAUUCACUUGUCAGCACUGACAAUAAACUGAAGAAACAGCACUCUGCAAUUGGACGGAUGAGGAAGGAGAGGGCAUGCACACUUUAUUGCACUUUUAUAUUCUAUCAGGAAAUGUACUUAUUAUCAAAUUUAGAAAACCAACAAUUUGGAAUCGAGUUCUGCAGUUUCAUUCAUGAUCAAUUGCUGUUAGCCACAAAGCAUGGCCUGGCAUCUUUUCAGGUUCCCAGUACAAUAUCACAGGGUCAGAUUACAAGGGAUAUAAAUAUUUGGUUCCACGGACUCCUCUCUGAUUUAGUUUUGACUGCAGGAAUCAGGACGGAUUACAAGGGGCCGGGUGGGCUCAGGGUAGCAGAGCACAGCAAAUAAAAUCACAAGGAGUCACCUUCAAAACUCCAAAUCCGAUUUCUGACAAGUGUCUGUGUUCUUUUUAAAGAAAUAUUAUUAUUAAGUCAUUUGGUAGGUAAAGCCAAAACCUAAUAGUAUAAAAAUCAUUCAAGUUUGCUAUAUUUACUAAAUCUGCUGUCUGUACGUACUUUAAGUCAGGUCUGCUUAUUUUACUGGCUUUUUGUACUCAUAAUAAACAAAACAAAGUGGAAGUAAGCUGGAGCCUGCUUUGAUUUAAACAGGAUCAACUACGUAAAAUUUAUUUUUGUGGUAUUGAAGGCUUAUGUCUAAACUGCCACUUCAUCACCCGUGUUACGCUCAGUUGUGUCAAGGCCAGGUCACUGGUAUAUGAGUAACAUUUUAUUUUUCACAACGGGAUUUAAACCAUUCCCACUUAGUUUUACCUGUAAAACUUACUGUGGAAAUCAUUGAGCCAAACUGAUCAUAAAACCUCACAAUUUCACCUGCAUACAAUUAACCAUUUUGAAGAAUUCCAAUGUACUCAUGCUCUUCCUGGCUCCAGUGUUAGCUCUAAAUGUUUUGCUGCCUUGCACAAAUUGUAUCCUAAAUCCCCAAAGUCAGAUGAAGCAGGACUCCAUGAACCCUCCUCUUUGUCCACUUUUUCCACUAGCCAGCAUCUCUGCUCCAUCUCUCCUGGAGAUAAGAAUUUAUCUUUUACUCAGCCAUCUAUUUACCACAGCUUCUAUUGCCUAAGACUGAAUGCUACAGCAGAGAAACUUCUAAUCAAAGGGUCAGUUCCUACAGUUAAUUUCCUUCCAGGGUCACCAUACAUACCCAUAUUUUACUCUCCUUCCACUCUAUGCAAUUAUUUUAUAGUGACUAUUUGAGCUGGUGAAGAUUAGAGGCUUGAAAACAUAAGUUCCAUCAUUUAAGGCAAAAGCAUGCCACGGAUAGCUACAAUUUAAACUUUUCUACAAUGUUCAUUCAACUGUAAUCACAAGAUGGAAAAUAAAAUCUCUAAAUUAAAGAUGAUAGGCUAUCAGAGUCUGUAGAGCACCUUCUAAGUAGAGAUUCUGCUGCUGAAACUCCUCUGUGAUGAUUUACUAUGAAGUGAACUGCUGCCUAACAAAAAAAUAAAGGUGAAAACUGCCAAAACAAUAGAAAAAAAGAUCUUCUACAUAAGAUACUCCGUCUAGCUGCCAGCGGUCAAAGGGUCCAGUUUUUUAUGCACCUCAUUUGUAACAGACAGCAAAGAAGACACCUUAAGGUAAGAUGUGUUAUAAAAUCUCUCAGCAUACAUACAGUUAUUUUUUUGUAUAACCUCCAGGUAGACUACAAAAAUUGAAUCAAGAGACUGCAGACAAGGUACAACACACAAAAAGACAUGUGGAUCCGUAUAAACCAUUUAUAUUCAUGAGUGUUUUAAGUUCUCCAUGGCCAUAAUCAAUAUCCAAUGAAGUUAAUGAGAUCUUUCCAUUGAUUUCAGAAGACACCAGGCUGAGCCCCAGAGACAACAGUAUCAUAUUCUCUGCAAGCACACCAGCUGAUAACACAUACUUUGAUAAGUUACUGGCUUCCCAUUUGUAUUUUCAGCAAAAGAUAGGUUAUCUCAUUUCAAAUUCAUGUUGCAAAAUGAGCAGUU
This is a non-coding RNA of Meleagris gallopavo (turkey), 3304 nucleotides long. Lineage: Eukaryota; Metazoa; Chordata; Aves; Galliformes; Phasianidae. The record is from RefSeq and is a predicted model, not a curated record.